Small nuclear RNA from Hyaena hyaena (striped hyena), 112 nucleotides. The record is from RefSeq and is a predicted model, not a curated record. Lineage: Eukaryota; Metazoa; Chordata; Mammalia; Carnivora; Hyaenidae.
GUUACAACAAUCAAUUCGGCAGCACUUAUACUACAAUUGGAACAAUACAGAGAUGAUUACAUGGCCCCUGUGUAAAGAUGACACACGGAUUCAUGCAGCAUUCCAUAUUUUA